RNAcentral lists this small RNA (566 nucleotides) under chicken gut metagenome. Its description in RNAcentral is "ROOL RNA". It matches the Rfam family "ROOL RNA". Rfam says of the family: Firmicutes, Fusobacteria (1 example), Tenericutes (1 example). The record is from RNAcentral.
AAUACCAACAUUAUUAACCGUGUGCAUAACUGUAAUAUCAUACAGCACGGAGCUGUCCGACAAGUAGUCAGCUAGACGGAUACGUUUAGAAGGUUGCUUUCUAAGUAUAGUAAUAUAUUUAGAGGAGAGGUAAAACUCAAAACUGGAUAGUGUGCAAAUAUUAUCGCUUAAUAAAAUACUAGAGUUGUCGUAGUCGUAAUAGACGGCACAGUGUGCAAUAAGCCUGCAUCUCAUAUGUGGCAGUAUGAAGCAAUACAGGUAAUGCUAAACAAGACUAUUUCUCGUGAUGACGAAGAAAUUCGGAUAUAAGACAUAACUAGGUUAAAGUAGCCCAAUGCGAGAUAAUGUACAGAACGUUUUUUUGUAUGAAUAGGAAAUUGAUACAAACAAUCUGAAUGAUGGGUGAAAUUUAUACGUAAUCAAUCGUAUGCAGGGUAAAGCACUACAGUGCUUGAAAAGGGGUAAAAAGUUAUAAGGUCGCUACUUAUAGCUCAGAUUUAUCUUCCUGGUGAUUGAAUAAUUAAGAAGAUAAUAUGUUGUAAGGGGAAACUCUAAUAAUAUAUAUU